GAAGAUGAUGAUAGGAAAGCGGGGUGAUGAUCAAUUUCAUAUGAUCAAAAUUUCUCCUUGCUGCGUUCUUUCUGAUUCACAUAUAACUUCUAUACAUCACUUUCUUUUUUAUAAAAAAAAAAUUUUAUUCGGUCACGUCGUCAAGAUGAUGAAAUCAGGAAAUCUUAGGACACCUUCUGACACAGUAGGAUGCUGUGUAUGAGAAAAAGAUUUUCGUUUCUGAUAUUU
Molecule: unclassified non-coding RNA, 228 nt
Filed under: Hevea brasiliensis (rubber tree)
Lineage: Eukaryota; Viridiplantae; Streptophyta; Magnoliopsida; Malpighiales; Euphorbiaceae
Source: RNAcentral